This is a non-coding RNA of Arachis ipaensis, 356 nucleotides long. NCBI's taxonomy places the organism in Eukaryota, Viridiplantae, Streptophyta, Magnoliopsida, Fabales, Fabaceae. The record is from RefSeq and is a predicted model, not a curated record.
UUGAAAAUUGUUGCAGGCAGAUACUUGAAAUUUAAUCAAAAGUAACUGCAGUGAUCGGAUAUAGUAAGGUAGACAUCCUCUGCUCAGAAGGUGGGAAGCAGCGAAUAAUUUUGAUGGACCAAGAAUCUCAAGAAGCAAGUAUAUUGCCAUCAUCACUAAGAAGCUCAAGAAAGAAUGAAGCUAUCCAUAAAUUAGGAUAUUGAAUCUUGAUGAGUCCACUAGUAGUUACUUAUCAUCUAAUGUAUUCAGAUUGUAUUAUUGUAUAGAAAUAAUUGCUUCUUAUUAUAAAGAAAGCGCUUUGUACUCACUUGGUGUAUUUUUCUAUUUAUACCUUCAAUAAAAAUUUGUAUUUAUUA